GAAUCCGGGAGGACCAUCUCCCAAGGCUAAAUACUCCCUAGUGACCGAUAGUGAACCAGUACCGUGAGGGAAAGGUGAAAAGCACCCCGGAAGGGGAGUGAAAUAGAACCUGAAACCGUGUGCCUACAACAAGUCAAAGCCCGUUAAUGGGUGAUGGCGUGCCUUUUGUAGAAUGAACCGGCGAGUUACGAUUGCAUGCGAGGUUAAGUUGAAGAGACGGAGCCGCAGCGAAAGCGAGUCUGAAUAGGGCGUUUGAGUAUGUAGUCGUAGACCCGAAACCAUGUGAUCUACCCAUGUCCAGGUUGAAGGUGCGGUAAAACGCACUGGAGGACCGAACCCACGUACGUUGAAAAGUGCGGGGAUGAGGUGUGGGUAGCGGAGAAAUUCCAAACGAACUUGGAGAUAGCUGGUUCUCUCCGAAAUAGCUUUAGGGCUAGCCUCGGAAUUGAGAAUGAUGGAGGUAGAGCACUGUUUGGACUAGGGGCCCAUCUCGGGUUACCGAAUUCAGAUAAACUCCGAAUGCCAUUCAUUCAUAUCCGGGAGUCAGACUGUGAGUGAUAAGAUCCAUAGUCGAAAGGGAAACAGCCCAGACCACCAGCUAAGGUCCCAAAAUAUAUGUUAAGUGGAAAAGGAUGUGGGGUUGCACAGACAACUAGGAUGUUGGCUUAGAAGCAGCCACCAUUUAAAGAGUGCGUAAUAGCUCACUAGUCGAGUGACCCUGCGCCGAAAAUGUACCGGGGCUAAACAUAUUACCGAAGCUGUGGAGUACACCUUUAGGUGUAUUGGUAGGAGAGCGUUCUAAGGGCGUC
Molecule: ribosomal RNA, 809 nt
Filed under: Enterococcus faecium
Lineage: Bacteria; Bacillati; Bacillota; Bacilli; Lactobacillales; Enterococcaceae
Description: partial 23S ribosomal RNA
Rfam family: Bacterial large subunit ribosomal RNA
Source: RNAcentral